AAGGCUUUAAGUUAAAAAAAACUAUUAUCCUUCAAAGCUAAAAAUAAAUUAUUUUUAAGCCUUA
Molecule: transfer RNA, 64 nt
Filed under: Arenivaga sp. B097
Lineage: Eukaryota; Metazoa; Arthropoda; Insecta; Blattodea; Corydiidae
Description: tRNA-Trp
Source: RNAcentral